This 1685-nucleotide long non-coding RNA is filed under the name Sus scrofa (pig). RNAcentral's name for it is "lncRNA (ENSSSCG00060029548.1)". The record is from RNAcentral. Lineage: Eukaryota; Metazoa; Chordata; Mammalia; Artiodactyla; Suidae.
GUGCGGCCCAGGUAAAAUGGAAAUUGCACCACCCAACGUGACACCGAACCAGCAGAUGAGGAUGGCGGGAACAGCACCUGUGAGGAUGUGCAGUCUGGGAGUGGUCAGCAGGAACGAUUGUGAGCACACUGGCCAUGUGAGGUACAAUGGCAACGUCUCUACCUGUACGCAUGUCUGCUGGGCUUUACAUAUCUGCUUUGUGUCUCCUCUCCAUGUGGCCACUGUGCAUCAUGUAUUGCCAACUGUAAAACAAAUAAAUAAAUAAAUUUAAAAUAACAAGUGUUUAUUGUCACAUGCAUGUAGUGUGCCAAUCCAUCAGCCUGUCUCCCGAAGAAAGAGCUCCCUCAGACCCUCCAGUCUUCCCCCUGUAGCCCCUCACUCCUGUCAGAUGACCAGGGAGGUCAGUAAUCUACAGGAGGGGAUUAAAGGGGAAAUGUGGAUCUGGAAACCAUCAGUGUGUGGCGGCAUAGCAGGGAGAUGAGGAAGCCACUGACAAUCCAGAUUUGAAACAAGGACCCCGAAAAUAAAACCUUUUGAUACCUAUAAAGUGUUGUUCAAGUGUCGAUGACUUCCAGGGUAAGAAGGGACCCUCUCUUCUUAUCCACAUAUCUGCUUGGACAGGCAUGAAAGAUGCCUGGCUCAUCUUUACCAUUUGACAAGGCUGAACUUCACCUGAGCCCCGAAAGAGCCACAGAAAAGACAUCUCUGCAGACUUCUGUGUUCCCGAAGUGGCUUACCAGCAAAGACCGGCCUUCCCUUUAGGACUUAGGUAAGGCUUGCGGUCCACUCUUUGUCCUAUUUGCCAUAAGCCUCUCAGGUGUCCCAUGGGUGUACCCUGCUAGCAGGCCAAACACAGACCUUCCUCCGAGUCCUUAAAGGUCAGACACAGACCCUCAGCUCCGUGUUUUCUGUCUCAUGAAUCGUAACUGAGAUUCAAAGUCAGCCCUCCUGAAACCAGCUAGUCACAAAGACAAACAUUUCCUGUUCAGUUGAUUAGACUCCCCCCUCCCCCGAAUGUUUCCCACAGUAGCACUGUCUAUUAAUCUCUCUCAAGUCCAAUGCAAAGCCACCCUGCUGACACAGUCUGCUCUUCAGACCUGGGGUGGUCUCCCCAUUGCAAUCCGUAGAAUAAAGUCAGUCUCUAGGUCAGUUCUGUGUCUUUCCACGUGUGAGGUGUCACACUGACUGUGAGUUGCAAGAACUGGUAAGGAAAAACUCUGGUAACCGGAGCCGCUUCUCGCAUGGACACACAACACAAAUUACCCGGCAGGCACAAAAGCCCCACCUUCCAGCACCAAUAGGCUACCACCCAGACGCAUCGUCUGUGAGGUCACCUGCGCUACCCGGAAACACUUCCCGCGACUCUGGAAGCUAUUACGGCUUCCAAUCGCCAAGCUGCUGGGACGGGGGCUCCGGUACGCGGCCGAGACGGUCGGCUUCUGUCUUCUGUGCUCCGAAUCCCCAGGCGCUAGUGCCGCUGUCCCCGGGUCGGAACCUACUCUCCUUCCGGUCGCUCCCGGCUGCCCCCCCGGGACAGCCGCAACAGACCGGGUGCCCAAGAGGACCCCGCUUGCCUAAGGGGGUGUGGCCGAGGGGGAGGGUCCCAUCCCUGUGACGUCAGACGCAGGCCCGCAGACUCCACCUCCCCUUUGGGACGCGUAACCUCUCUAGGACUCCGGAGGACC